AUAAGAUUGUAGCUUCGCAUGAAGUAGCAAUUAAAGGAGCAAUCCGCUAUGAGAUGGGCCCGCGGCGCAUUAGCUAGUUGGUGAGGUAACGGCUCACCAAGGCGACGAUGCGUAGCCGACCUGAGAGGGUGAUCGGCCACAUUGGGACUGAGACACGGCCCAGACUCCUACGGGAGGCAGCAGUGGGGAAUAUUGCACAAUGGGGGAAACCCUGAUGCAGCAACGCCGCGUGAGUGAUGACGGCCUUCGGGUUGUAAAGCUCUGUCUUCAGGGACGAUAAUGACGGUACCUGAGGAGGAAGCCACGGCUAACUACGUGCCAGCAGCCGCGGUAAUACGUAGGUGGCGAGCGUUGUCCGGAUUUACUGGGCGUAAAGGG
RNAcentral lists this ribosomal RNA (378 nucleotides) under uncultured bacterium. RNAcentral describes it as "bacterial SSU rRNA". It matches the Rfam family "Bacterial small subunit ribosomal RNA", at positions 173 to 567 of the family's 1533-position model. The record is from RNAcentral.